CGGAGGCGGAGGCGGAGGCGGAGGCACCAGAUAGAGCAGUAGUGAGAAAGGCAUCUGGGAGACAGCCUUCGCAGAGGCUUUUAUCUCUCUUACAAGGGACCUUGAGAGAGGCUACUAAGAGAGGAGACGAUGUUCAGAGAUUUCAUCUUUCAUUUCCAGUUAUACAACGAAUCGAUCCUCAAGCACUCCAGAGAUCUCAGAUCAGAAAACUAUGGGCCUCCAGAAGAAUGAGACCAGCAUGUGCCAAGCCCUGUGUCCUACCUGCAGCACCAAGAAGAAAAUGUG
RNAcentral lists this long non-coding RNA (285 nucleotides) under Rattus norvegicus (Norway rat). RNAcentral's name for it is "long non-coding RNA NONRATT031692". Lineage: Eukaryota; Metazoa; Chordata; Mammalia; Rodentia; Muridae. The record is from RNAcentral.